UAAAUGUCUGGUAAUAAGCCAAACAACUCUUGAUACAAAGAUGGAAAUUGAUUAGGUCGUCCUAAAAGGGUGAGUAUGGAACCCAAAGGGAUGUAUUUAUUGGCACAAGGAAAAUAUAUCACUUGUUGGGGAAUAAAUAAUUUAAAAUCAAAGGAGAACAAUUCUUGGAUCCAUGAAGGAAUAAACUCUGAACCGAAGAGUAAAACUGGUAUGAACCAAC
RNAcentral lists this long non-coding RNA (220 nucleotides) under Lathyrus oleraceus (garden pea). Its description in RNAcentral is "Pisum sativum (pea) long non-coding RNA (PSAT_LNC002232)". The record is from RNAcentral. Lineage: Eukaryota; Viridiplantae; Streptophyta; Magnoliopsida; Fabales; Fabaceae.